AGCUUUGCACAGUGGCAGUAUCGUAGCCAAUGAGGUUUAUCUGAGGUGCAAUUAUUGCUAAUUGAAAACUUUUCCCAAUACUCUGCCAUGACAACUACAAUAUAGUUGGAAAUACUAUAAUAUAGGAAAUAGAGUUGGCAUUGGCAAUUUUUGGCAGUCUGUAUAGG
Molecule: small nuclear RNA, 167 nt
Filed under: Cebus imitator (Panamanian white-faced capuchin)
Lineage: Eukaryota; Metazoa; Chordata; Mammalia; Primates; Cebidae
Description: U4 spliceosomal RNA (ENSCCAG00000001945.1)
Rfam family: U4 spliceosomal RNA
About the family: U4 small nuclear RNA (U4 snRNA) is a component of the major U2-dependent spliceosome.
Source: Rfam by way of RNAcentral